GACAAACGCUGGCGGCGUGCUUAACACAUGCAAGUCGAACGGAAAGGCUCCAGCUUGCUGGAGUACUCGAGUGGCGAACGGGUGAGUAACACGUGGGUAAUCUGCCCUGCACUCUGGGAUAAGCCUGGGAAACUGGGUCUAAUACUGGAUAUGACCUUUCUCCUUAUGGGGUUUGGUGGAAAGUUUUUCGGUGUAGGAUGAGCCCGCGGCCUAUCAGCUUGUUGGUGGGGUGAUGGCUUACCAAGGCGACGACGGGUAGCCGGCCUGAGAGGGUGAUCGGCCACAUUGGGACUGAGAUACGGCCCAGACUCCUACGGGAGGCAGCAGUGGGGAAUAUUGCACAAUGGGCGGAAGCCUGAUGCAGCGACGCCGCGUGAGGGAUGACGGCCUUCGGGUUGUAAACCUCUUUCAGCAGGGACGAAGCGUAAGUGACGGUACCUGCAGAAGAAGCACCGGCUAACUAUGUG
Molecule: ribosomal RNA, 467 nt
Filed under: uncultured bacterium
Lineage: Bacteria
Description: partial 16S ribosomal RNA
Rfam family: Bacterial small subunit ribosomal RNA
Source: RNAcentral